Molecule: ribosomal RNA, 601 nt
Filed under: Pediococcus acidilactici
Lineage: Bacteria; Bacillati; Bacillota; Bacilli; Lactobacillales; Lactobacillaceae
Description: bacterial SSU rRNA
Rfam family: Bacterial small subunit ribosomal RNA
Source: RNAcentral
GAGUAACACGUGGGUAACCUGCCCAGAAGCAGGGGAUAACACCUGGAAACAGAUGCUAAUACCGUAUAACAGAGAAAACCGCCUGGUUUUCUUUUAAAAGAUGGCUCUGCUAUCACUUCUGGAUGGACCCGCGGCGCAUUAGCUAGUUGGUGAGGUAACGGCUCACCAAGGCGAUGAUGCGUAGCCGACCUGAGAGGGUAAUCGGCCACAUUGGGACUGAGACACGGCCCAGACUCCUACGGGAGGCAGCAGUAGGGAAUCUUCCACAGUGGACGCAAGUCUGAUGGAGCAACGCCGCGUGAGUGAAGAAGGGUUUCGGCUCGUAAAGCUCUGUUGUAAAAAAAAAACGUGGGUGAGAGUAACUGUUCACCCAGUGACGGUAUUUAACCAGAAAGCCACGGCUAACUACGUGCCAGCAGCCGCGGUAAUACGUAGGUGGCAAGCGUUAUCCGGAUUUAUUGGGCGUAAAGCGAGCGCAGGCGGUCUUUUAAGUCUAAUGUGAAAGCCUUCGGCUCCACCGAAGAAGUGCAUUGGAAAGUGAGACACUUGAGUGCAAAAGAGGAUAUGGGAACUCCUGUGUGUAGGGGGUGAAAUGCGUAUA